RNAcentral lists this transfer RNA (76 nucleotides) under Ignavibacteriales bacterium. RNAcentral describes it as "tRNA-Thr". It matches the Rfam family "tRNA". From Rfam's summary of the family: Transfer RNA (tRNA) molecules are approximately 80 nucleotides in length. Their secondary structure includes four short double-helical elements and three loops (D, anti-codon, and T loops). Lineage: Bacteria; Pseudomonadati; Ignavibacteriota; Ignavibacteria; Ignavibacteriales. The record is from RNAcentral.
GCUGACGUAGCUCAGUUGGUAGAGCACAUCCUUGGUAAGGAUGAGGUCACCGGUUCAAUCCCGGUCGUCAGCUCGA